AUUGUUCAUGGUUUACAAUUACAACCCAUCCAUUGAUUAAUGUUCAAUUGAUUAAUAAACACUUUUACUAGGGCAUUAUACAAGUAUGCUGAUGCAAAAUAUUUUUUAGUAUCAUUUUGGACAUGAAACAUGCACUUGUUAACUAAGGUUAUUUAUAGUUUUUUUUAUAAGAUGACCAGAUUUACUGCUGUUGGUUUUUCAUUUUGUAAGGUGGAUACAGAUACGGAUAUGGAUAAUUUUACUUUUCACAUGUAUCAUUGCUAUUAUUACUACUGUACAUGUAUGUUUAUGUACCUGUAGUAUUUUUGACAUAACUAGUUGUGCAUAAGAGGUAUAAUGAAGGUUUAAUAGAUGUUUAGAGGUUGAAUUUGUAACUAAACCCUUCAAUUCAUUUUUUCAGGGGUCUGGAGUGUUUAUCUUUGAAGGGAUGAUGUCAUCGAUGAAGCAGCAGGAAGCUUGGGUCAUCCACUUCCCAAUGCCUAUACGUUGACAUUCCCCUGACGGAAGCUCUCCAAAUCCUAUUUUUAAUUGAAGAAGGUACAGGUACAAUGUAUAUACAUGCAAUCUAUUUACCAAAAAAGGGGAAGAUUUUGAAAUAACAAUAUUUGGCAUGAAUAUAGAACGAUGUUGAAAUGUUUAUAUUGUUUAUGACAAAUUGUAAGUGUCAUGGAUGGACGACCGUCAGUAUCAACAAAUCUUUUUUUCCUCAUUUUUUGCGAUCUUAUGGAACAGAUCGAUUCAGUAGGGGAGAGUUAUAGCGGGAUGGAAAAUAGAGAUUUGUUUGUUUGGGUAAAGAAGUUCGUUCGCCUUCUUCCAUUGUUUACAUUCCUUAAAGGUGUUGAUUUCGUUUGCUAGUUUUUCUGGGCCAGGCUAGCGAUUGGAAUGUGGAAGUGAAAGAGGGCAAACUGACUGGGUUGCUAGGCGUUCAGGGCUAAUAGAAGUCCAUUGGAACUUCAGUUAUUUUACUACUUUGCUUCUUAUUCAUGUUCUUCGGCUCGCUUGCAUUCUUCAGUGAUUAGAGAGAGAGAGCGAGAAUGUGAACAGGUGUGGAAGCAAGGAGUGAAUUCCUUGGUGGAAGUGAGCUGUGAGUGGGAGUGGCUGAAGUGACAAGAGUCGCAAAAGAGGAUUAAUUGACUGAGAGAGCAGUUGGGGAGUGGUUAAGAGAGUUACGUAAGUUGGAAGAAUAAUGGAAAGCCGAAGAACUUGAAUUUGGAAUCGGAGUACACAAUAAUUAAGUUCCGUUUUAUAUACUUACAUUAUAGGCGGAUUAAUUUCGCGCAUUACACCAAAAGUGAUAGGGUCGACUUGGGAAAGGCUUUUUCGCCACG
Lytechinus variegatus (green sea urchin) is the source of this 1328-nucleotide long non-coding RNA. RefSeq lists it as uncharacterized. The transcript is spliced from 2 exons. NCBI's taxonomy places the organism in Eukaryota, Metazoa, Echinodermata, Echinoidea, Temnopleuroida, Toxopneustidae. The record is from RefSeq and is a predicted model, not a curated record.